This 354-nucleotide unclassified non-coding RNA is filed under the name soil metagenome. RNAcentral's name for it is "partial contains 5.8S ribosomal RNA, internal transcribed spacer 2, and large subunit ribosomal RNA". The stretch from base 1 to 120 matches the Rfam family "5.8S ribosomal RNA", at positions 35 to 154 of the family's 154-position model. The record is from RNAcentral.
GAUGAAGAACGUAGCGAAAUGCGAUAAGUAAUGUGAAUUGCAGAAUUCCGUGAAUCAUCGAAUCUUUGAACGCACAUUGCGCCCCCUGGCAUUCCGGGGGGCAUGCCUGUCCGAGCGUCAUUUCUGCCCUCCAGCCCGGCUGGGUGUUGGGCGCUGUCCCCCCGGGGACACGCCCCAAAGGCAGUGGCGGCGCCGCGUCGGGUCCUCGAGCGUAUGGGGCUUUGUCACCCGCUCGGGACGGACUCGUCGGCGCUGGUCUUCCUCCAGGCGACCCUUCGGGGCUCGUCUUCCUUCGGUUGACCUCGGAUCAGGUAGGGUUACCCGCUGAACUUAAGCAUAUCAAAAAGCGGAGGA